This 462-nucleotide ribosomal RNA is filed under the name uncultured bacterium. RNAcentral describes it as "partial 16S ribosomal RNA". It matches the Rfam family "Bacterial small subunit ribosomal RNA", at positions 28 to 507 of the family's 1533-position model. The record is from RNAcentral.
GACGAACGCUGGCGGCGUGCUUAACACAUGCAAGUCGAACGGUGAAGCCCUUCGGGGUGGAUCAGUGGCGAACGGGUGCGUAACACGUGAGCAACCUGCCCCUGGCUCUGGGACAACCACUGGAAACGGUGGCUAAUACCGGAUACGACCCGCCUCGGCAUCGAGUGUGGGUGGAAAGUUUUUCGGCUGGGGAUGGGCUCGCGGCCUAUCAGCUUGUUGGUGAGGUGACGGCUCACCAAGGCGACGACGGGUAGCCGGCCUGAGAGGGCGACCGGCCACACUGGGACUGAGACACGGCCCAGACUCCUACGGGAGGCAGCAGUGGGGAAUAUUGCACAAUGGGCGAAAGCCUGAUGCAGCGACGCCGCGUGAGGGAUGACGGCCUUCGGGUUGUAAACCUCUUUCAGCUCCGAAGAAGCGAAAGUGACGGUAGGGGCAGAAGAAGCACCGGCUAACUACGUG